GUCUAUGGUCGUUAUCGCGGGAACUGGGAAGUAGCACCCCCUUGUUGGUGAAUGGCGAAACUGUAUAGGAGGCGAAUUUAAAUUGUCAAAAUUAAAAACCAACGAUUUUUCGGUUGAUUCGAUUAUUUAUGUCGAUAUAAUAACUGUAUUGGAGUACCAGCUAGCCUCGGAGCACGUUUCAUUAGUUCCAGCAACCUACAACGGAACAAUCGCAUUUUUGCCGAUAGCGAGCACGAACGUUUCCGGUUGAUUAGUUUCUGCAUCCCUGAAUAGUAGUCAAGUUCAAAAUUAGAUUCGAACUUCGAAAAAUGACCUAAAAAAUUAUUUUAAAAUAUUUAGCCAAACAAAGAAACUUAAUACAGGCCAAAUUGAAUUAGACCAUGCCUCUGAACCUAGCAACAGCGCGACUAGCCUAACCUUCUAGCUAGCCUAGGAGCAUGAUGCUACAUUAGCUAACUCCAGCAGCUCCGCAUUAGUCCGGGAGGACGGGAUAUAGGCCUAUUUGGUCACAGAAGGGCACGCCUGCAGCUGUUAUGGCUGAUAGCCUAGUUUCACUCGAUAAGCCUUUUUCCCUGAAAAUUGUAGGGACUUUCCAGCCGAAAUGCGUCAACUUCCUUGGAAAUCGGUGAAUUCUUGAGCAUGACCCAGUGCGCCUGGUCCCGUACUACACAGUGCGGGCCGCCGUUGACCAGGUCGAAGACCUGCGCGGGGUUCAGCAGCUGUUUGAAGCGCCGCAGGAACUUCACCCCCUGGUUGUCCCCGCUCUUGGAGUUGACGAAGACGAGGAGCGGGCUGGCGCAGGACGGGGGGCAGGUGGCCUUCCAGAAGCCUGCGCAAAAAAAGGGGUUAAAAGCUUUUAACUCCACUUUCAAGCCCCCCCGGCCCCCCGGCCCACCAGCCCCCCGAGCCCCACAGAGAGAGAGGGUCCGGGUCAGAGCCGGGUUUUUGGGCAUACGGUGCGUCCUGCAGACGUCUCUUCAUGCUGCGCAGGUCAUGACUGCAGCUGUGCUCGGCAGGGCUAGCCUCAGGCGGCUGCGUGAUAUGAGUCAUUAUUAUAAUUAAAAAGCACUUUCAGACUCUCAUUACCAGCGGCUCUCUGGAGCUCAUGUUAACGAGCCAAGCUGUAAACACGAGGACCGGCUUGAUGCAAACAACACCUCCAGCGUUAUAUUCUAUAAUGAUCAAUUAGUAUCAGCAAAGCAGGUACAAAGGUAGCAAUACUGCAGUAAUUAAGACUUUACAUGUUUAUAAUUAUUUGACAGUUGUACAAAUCGAAUUUAAAGAAAUCUAUAUGUUUUCAUGGCACUAUCAGUGAUAGCAGCAUUGUUGACUGUUCCAUGCAAACACAUAACACACACUGCAUGCGCUGUUAAGUGUGAACGCUUUAGUAUUGUCUUUCUCUGAUUCUACACCAGACUGUCGGUGGAAACAGUAAAACUGCCAGCCCAGCGCACCCUCCUAUUAUUAGCCAAUCACAGCCUCCCGUGGAGGUGUAAAUUUCAUUUCAGCGUUGAGUACGCAGAGUCACGCACCAACCCCACUACCCGCUGCAAACUGCACUGCACUGCACAAUUUACACUGUGGAGCCAAGUGUUAUUUUGACACUGAUUUCCCCAAAGCAGGGGGCUUUUUCAUUUCCUGUGAGGCUUGAGUCUUUAUCGGCAAGGUAAGAUGGCUGCCAUCCUUCCCAAGGGCCACAUCCGGAAAUGUGAAGAAAUGUCAGAAUCCAUUUACAUGAGCAUCAGUUUCAAACCCAGUACCAGAGUUUGCAAAGGUCAAAGGUCACAAGGACACGGUGUUAAGACUCUUCAGAUGAAGCGAGCUGUAAGCUUCCCUUCUGUCUGAGAGAGCUGAGCGCUUCUGAGUCUGCCCCCAGUAUAAAGCAUUCGGUUAAGGCCUGAAAUAUCGAUCCUGACCUUUCCCGCUGUCUUUAAAUAUCUUGGACAGAUUUCUGCGAGCAAAAUAAGUCAUGUGAUCAUCUGACUUCCCAUCCAUCACAGAUGUCCCCACCCUGCAUUCGUUCCCCAGUCUGUUGAGGCAGCCAGUAACCAAGGCAACGGAGAAAAGUAAAGUUCACGCGGCACUGACAACCUUUCGGAGAAUUCGGUGUCGGGGAGCAGCGCGUGCCAAAUGUACCGGAGAGCCCCUUUUCUGGCUGCUGUAACCAGAUACUGCUUUUCUCCCCACUUCCUGUCAGCAGCAUAAGUCAUGUGAACUCUGUAUCUGCUAAUUACAUUUUUACCACACUG
This is a long non-coding RNA of Anguilla rostrata (American eel), 2249 nucleotides long. RefSeq lists it as uncharacterized. The transcript is spliced from 2 exons. The record is from RefSeq and is a predicted model, not a curated record. NCBI's taxonomy places the organism in Eukaryota, Metazoa, Chordata, Actinopteri, Anguilliformes, Anguillidae.